Molecule: small nuclear RNA, 153 nt
Filed under: Erinaceus europaeus (western European hedgehog)
Lineage: Eukaryota; Metazoa; Chordata; Mammalia; Eulipotyphla; Erinaceidae
Description: U1 spliceosomal RNA (ENSEEUG00000022610.1)
Source: RNAcentral
AGAUUUACUGACAGGGAAGAUACCAUGAUCACUAGUUUUCUCAGGGUGAGGCUUACCCGUUGUACUAUAGAUGUAUAGAGAUGUUGUUCCAAAUGUGGGCAACUUAACUGUGUAACUUGUUGUCAUAGGGAACUGUGUUUAAACUCUUCUAUA